GACGAACGCUGGCGGCGUGCUUAACACAUGCAAGUCGAACGGAAAGGCCCUGCUUUUGUGGGGUGCUCGAGUGGCGAACGGGUGAGUAACACGUGAGUAACCUGCCCUUGACUUUGGGAUAACUUCAGGAAACUGGGGCUAAUACCGGAUAGGAGCUCCUGCUGCAUGGUGGGGGUUGGAAAGUUUCGGCGGUUGGGGAUGGACUCGCGGCUUAUCAGCUUGUUGGUGGGGUAGUGGCUUACCAAGGCUUUGACGGGUAGCCGGCCUGAGAGGGUGACCGGCCACAUUGGGACUGAGAUACGGCCCAGACUCCUACGGGAGGCAGCAGUGGGGAAUAUUGCACAAUGGGCGGAAGCCUGAUGCAGCAACGCCGCGUGCGGGAUGACGGCCUUCGGGUUGUAAACCGCUUUCGCCUGUGACGAAGCGUGAGUGACGGUAAUGGGUAAAGAAGCACCGGCUAACCACGUGCCAGCAGCCGCGGUGAUACGUAGGGUGCGAGCGUUGUCCGGAUUUAUUGGGCGUAAAGGGCUCGUAGGUGGUUGAUCGCGUCGGAAGUGUAAUCUUGGGGCUUAACCCUGAGCGUGCUUUCGAUACGGGUUGACUUGAGGAAGGUAGGGGAGAAUGGAAUUCCUGGUGGAGCGGUGGAAUGCGCAGAUAUCAGGAGGAACACCAGUGGCGAAGGCGGUUCUCUGGGCCUUUCCUGACGCUGAGGAGCGAAAGCGUGGGGAGCGAACAGGCUUAGAUACCCUGGUAGUCCACGCUGUAAACGGUGGGUACUAGGUGUGGGGUCCAUUCCACGGGUUCCGUGCCGUAGCUAACGCUUUAAGUACCCCGCCUGGGGAGUACGGCCGCAAGGCUAAAACUCAAAGGAAUUGACGGGGCCCCGCACAAGCGGCGGAGCAUGCGGAUUAAUUCGAUGCAACGCGUAGAACCUUACCUGGGUUUGACAUGGAUCGGGAGCGCUCAGAGAUGGGUGUGCCUCUUUUGGGGUCGGUUCACAGGUGGUGCAUGGCUGUCGUCAGCUUGUGUCGUGAGAUGUUGGGUUAAGUCCCGCAACGAGCGCAACCCUUGUUCACUGUUGCCAGCACGUUAUGGUGGGGACUCAGUGGAGACCGCCGGGGUCAACUCGGAGGAAGGUGGGGAUGACGUCAAGUCAUCAUGCCCCUUAUGUCCAGGGCUUCACGCAUGCUACAAUGGCUGGUACAGAGAGUGGCGAGCCUGUGAGGGUGAGCGAAUCUCGGAAAGCCGGUCUCAGUUCGGAUUGGGGUCUGCAACUCGACCUCAUGAAGUCGGAGUCGCUAGUAAUCGCAGAUCAGCAACGCUGCGGUGAAUACGUUCCCGGG
Molecule: ribosomal RNA, 1343 nt
Filed under: uncultured bacterium
Lineage: Bacteria
Description: 16S ribosomal RNA
Rfam family: Bacterial small subunit ribosomal RNA
Source: RNAcentral